GAAAGAGACCAACUCGAGAUGUUGGGAUUGUGGGGAAUGUCCGGACGACGCCGAGCAUGUCCUUUUCAAGUGCCCCAGAUGGAUGGAGGACAGCGCUGCACUCGAGAUCGAUUUGGGAAUCGAGUGGAGUGUCUCGUAAAAUAAAAAAAAAGGAGUAGCUCAGACGAAAAGAAAAAUAAAAUGUAACAAAAGAAAACAAGAGAAUUUAUUUCUUGAACUCUGAGUUUACACUGACUAUGAUUUGGUUCUGAGCUCCAGCCGUGACUUUCCAAGACUGAAGCUCUUACAAUUUGACUUUCGAACAUUCGGUGGAAGGACCGUUGGGAUAUCGACGACUCAUUAGGCACUUCGGCGAUAUACAUUGUCGCCAAGGCCGCCACAUCUUUAUCUCCAUCAUCGGUCCAUCGGAUUUGAAGGGUGCCGAUCGUGACAGGAACAUUGAAGCGGACAUCGUGGUGAAGAUGGCUGAGGAUGAUCGGUCGUGGCAGAAGUUCUCAGAGUUCUGUACGCGGGCGAUGGUCUUCAGGCAAAGGAAAGAAAAAGAGGUGGAGACGCGCGAUGGACGCUCCAGAGGAAUAGGAAGAGCAGGAAGAACGGUGUUAAGUACAUGAAGAUUGGUGUAGGGUACGUAGUGUAGAGGCCAACCUGAAGUAUUGUCGAAUGAUCGGGCCGGGUUGGAACCUCGAGUACCUUAGGAGUGAAAGGGGGAGGAGUUUUUAGUUUGUAUAGCAAUGACAUCUGCCGAGUUCCACAUAACCCACAUACAAA
Molecule: unclassified non-coding RNA, 768 nt
Filed under: Bombus terrestris (buff-tailed bumblebee)
Lineage: Eukaryota; Metazoa; Arthropoda; Insecta; Hymenoptera; Apidae
Description: misc RNA ENSBTSG00005034159.1
Source: RNAcentral